This 305-nucleotide ribosomal RNA is filed under the name uncultured bacterium. RNAcentral describes it as "bacterial SSU rRNA". It matches the Rfam family "Bacterial small subunit ribosomal RNA", at positions 338 to 640 of the family's 1533-position model. The record is from RNAcentral.
CCUACGGGGGGCAGCAGUGAGGAAUAUUGGUCAAUGGACGCAAGUCUGAACCAGCCAUGCCGCGUGCCGGAUUCCUUCUCUAUGAGUUGUAAACUGCUUUUGUACGAUGGUCAACCCCGAUACGUGUAUCGGGUUGAAAGUAUCGUACGACUACGGCUCGGCUAACUCCGUGCCAGCAGCCGCGGUACUACGGAGGAUCCGAGCGUUCUCCGGAUUUAUUGGGUUUAAAGGGUGCGUAGGCGGUUUGAUAAGUUAGAGGUGAAAUGUCGGGGCUCAACCCCGAAACUGCCUCUAAUACUGUUGGU